Molecule: ribosomal RNA, 233 nt
Filed under: uncultured bacterium
Lineage: Bacteria
Description: partial 16S ribosomal RNA
Rfam family: Bacterial small subunit ribosomal RNA
Source: RNAcentral
UACGUAGGGGGGCAAGCGUUGUCCGGAUUUAUUGGGCGUAAAGAGCGUGUAGGCGGCCAGGUAGGUCUGCUGUGAAAACUCGAGGCUUAACCUCGAGCUGUCGGCGGAAACCAUCUGGCUAGAGUCCGGAAGAGGAGAGUGGAAUUCCCGGUGUAGCGGUGAAAUGCGUAGAGAUCGGGAGGAACACCAGUGGCGAAGGCGGCUACCUGGACCAGCACGUGACACUGAGGCAC